CCUACGGGUGGCAGCAGUGGGGAAUCUUGGACAAUGGGCGAAAGCCCGAUCCAGCAAUAUCGCGUGAGUGAAGAAGGCCUUAGGGUUGUAAAGCUCUUUCACCGGUGAAGAUAAUGACGGUAACCGGAGAAGAAGCCCCGGCUAACUUCGUGCCAGCAGCCGCGGUAAUACGAAGGGGGCUAGCGUUGCUCGGAAUGACUGGGCGUAAAGGGCGCGUAGGCGGUUUAUGCAGUCAGAUGUGAAAUCCCCGGGCUUAACCUGGGAACUGCAUUUGAGACGCAUAGACUAGAGGUCGAGAGAGGGUUGUGGAAUUCCCAGUGUAGAGGUGAAAUUCGUAGAUAUUGGGAAGAACACCGGUGGCGAAGGCGGCAACCUGGCUCGAUACUGACGCUGAGGCGCGAAAGCGUGGGGAGCAAACAGGAUUAGAUACCCGUGUAGUC
RNAcentral lists this ribosomal RNA (440 nucleotides) under uncultured bacterium. RNAcentral's name for it is "bacterial SSU rRNA". It matches the Rfam family "Bacterial small subunit ribosomal RNA", at positions 338 to 795 of the family's 1533-position model. The record is from RNAcentral.